Molecule: ribosomal RNA, 497 nt
Filed under: uncultured bacterium
Lineage: Bacteria
Description: partial 16S ribosomal RNA
Rfam family: Bacterial small subunit ribosomal RNA
Source: RNAcentral
GACGAACGCUGGCGGCGUGCCUAAUACAUGCAAGUAGAACGCUGAAGAGAGGAGCUUGCUCUUCUUGGAUGAGUUGCGAACGGGUGAGUAACGCGUAGGUAACCUGCCUUGUAGCGGGGGAUAACUAUUGGAAACGAUAGCUAAUACCGCAUAACAAUGGAUGACACAUGUCAUCUAUUUGAAAGGGGCAAUUGCUCCACUACAAGAUGGACCUGCGUUGUAUUAGCUAGUAGGUGAGGUAAUGGCUCACCUAGGCGACGAUACAUAGCCGACCUGAGAGGGUGAUCGGCCACACUGGGACUGAGACACGGCCCAGACUCCUACGGGAGGCAGCAGUAGGGAAUCUUCGGCAAUGGGGGCAACCCUGACCGAGCAACGCCGCGUGAGUGAAGAAGGUUUUCGGAUCGUAAAGCUCUGUUGUAAGUCAAGAACGGGUGUGAGAGUGGAAAGUCCACACUGUGACGGUAGCUUACCAGAAAGGGACGGCUAACUACGUG